AGGGCCAUGUGCCAAAGAAUGUGGAUGGCUUCCAUAAGCUGAAAAGAAGGAAAUGGAUUCUUCCUUAGAGCUUCCAGAAAAGAAAACAAUCUUGCCAAUACCCUGAUUUUAGCCCACUGAGGCCCAUUUUGGACUUCAAAACUAUAAGAUAAAGCUACCAUUGACUCAACUGACAGGAAACCAGAGGUUAUGGCAGCCCUGUUGAUGUUGUCCAUAUAAAUCAGUCUGCAGCAGAAGAAAGCAAGGUGGAGGAGGGCUUGGAGUAGAACAGUAUGGGGCAAAUGGAAGAUACCCAGCACUGAUCAUCCGCCAAUGUUCAGACAAGAUUUUAGAGUUUGACUCACCCCAAGCUUCAUUAACAGCCUCUAUUGCAAGACAUAGCAUCGUCCCAUUUUCUUUAAGCUCAACAAGCUCACAUAAACCAUGGUUUCUCCUAAGAGAACGCUUCUUCAACCUUUUUGACAGAACUCUUAGUCGUAGAGGGGAAUCAACUAUUUAACCAUUAGGAAAUCUGGGAGCAUAGCUUAAAAUUUACUGUGCAUAUGAAAUUUCUCCCAAGUUUCUUUUGGUUUGUUUCAGCUAAAUAAUUGAUAUGAGUUUUGAAUUGUACUGCAUAAAACAUUUGUUUGUUCUUACAUUGAAAUUAGUUACAAGAAGGAGAAAUCAAACAAAAAAAAAGAUCUUAGCUUUUUUAGAUAGUCUUUUCAGAUCUAUCAAUUUCCAGUAAUUAAGUAAAAAUAAGAUCAUGGGUUUUUUUUUCUUGAAUCCAUAUGAUAUUAAAAGCCAUAAAUCUUAAAUCUUCACAUUUCUAUCUCCUUCAGAUUGUUAAAUAAGACAUGAUAGGUACUGCAUUUCCCUUUUAGAGACUUAAAAUCCACUGUCAGAUAGUAGAAGCUGAGGAAUUCUGCAUUAAAAACAAGGCUGUUGAUUUUUUUAAAUAGCCAAA
This is a long non-coding RNA of Mirounga angustirostris (Northern elephant seal), 946 nucleotides long. RefSeq lists it as uncharacterized. The record is from RefSeq and is a predicted model, not a curated record. Lineage: Eukaryota; Metazoa; Chordata; Mammalia; Carnivora; Phocidae. The transcript is spliced from 2 exons.